This 272-nucleotide ribosomal RNA is filed under the name uncultured bacterium. Its description in RNAcentral is "partial 16S ribosomal RNA". It matches the Rfam family "Bacterial small subunit ribosomal RNA", at positions 505 to 776 of the family's 1533-position model. The record is from RNAcentral.
GUGCCAGCCGCCGCGGUAAUACGGAGGAUGCGAGCGUUAUCCGGAUUCAUUGGGUUUAAAGGGUGCGCAGGCGGAUAUAUAAGUCGGAGGUGAAAUUCUGAUGCUCAACAUCAGCCGUGCCUUCGAUACUGUAUAUCUAGAGUCAAGUUGGAGUAGGCGGAAUGUGUUGUGUAGCGGUGAAAUGCUUAGAUAUAACACAGAACACCGAUCGCGAAGGCAGCUUACUAAACUUUGACUGACGCUCAUGCACGAAAGCGUGGGGAUCAAACAGG